AAUUAAUUAAAUUUUUCAGGACUUCGAAUCCUAAAAAGCAAAAGGCUUUAAUUU
This 54-nucleotide transfer RNA is filed under the name Hygrobates longiporus. RNAcentral's name for it is "tRNA-Arg". The record is from RNAcentral. Lineage: Eukaryota; Metazoa; Arthropoda; Arachnida; Trombidiformes; Hygrobatidae.